GCAAGAAGGCAACCAUGAGCAAGCCAAGAAGAGAGCCCUCAAGGGGGAACCAAAAGGCUGGCUGGUACCUUGAUCUUGGGGUUUCCAGCCUCCAGAAUGGAGUCAUGGCUUCUGUUAAUUGACCAUCUGGCCGCACGCUAGGAAAAAGAAUCCUCUGGAAACACUAUGGAGUGAUGGAGAAAGCACCAUCUGGGGAGUCAGAUGACCUGCUCUCUAUCCCAGCUCAUCAGGGAGUCUCUGAGACAAACACUUACCAGAGCCACUCUUGAUGAUAGAAUUGGUGAUGUGACAGCCACCAAAGGAAUGUGACACAAAGUAGAAAUGAGACCUGAGAUGUGGCCUGGACCUUUACCAUGGAAAUGCCCAUAAAUUGCGUCCCUAUUCCUUAAGAUUUUAUUUAAAGU
Homo sapiens (human) is the source of this 404-nucleotide long non-coding RNA. RefSeq lists it as uncharacterized. NCBI's taxonomy places the organism in Eukaryota, Metazoa, Chordata, Mammalia, Primates, Hominidae. The transcript is spliced from 4 exons. The record is from RefSeq and is a predicted model, not a curated record.